Brachypodium distachyon (stiff brome) is the source of this 1895-nucleotide long non-coding RNA. RefSeq lists it as uncharacterized. Lineage: Eukaryota; Viridiplantae; Streptophyta; Magnoliopsida; Poales; Poaceae. The transcript has 4 exons. The record is from RefSeq and is a predicted model, not a curated record.
AUUGUCAGAACUUUCUCCGUCCACCUAAGUUUGUGACGUGUGAAUGAAUGUCCAUCGGUAUCAUAGAUAGACCUUUAACGAUGAGCAGACAAACAAAACGAAUAUAAUACUCGUAGCAGUUUGUCAAUACAUGUAGCUGAGUUAUAAUUUUGAGAGCAUAAUUUGACAAAAACGAAUUCUUAUGCCAGGUUAUACUGCUAGCACGUGCAAACUUGCCAUUUUGCAAUAUGAGAAAUGGUUAUUGAUCAGACAUUAUCUAUUGUGUAACAUUCUGUUUCAUUUUCUGUAGAUGUGAUAAAUUCACGUCUCAUGAGCUAAUUCCCGGAUUCAUAUUUUUUUUAAGAGUCCAAUGCUCUAAUUAUGUAUAUGGUGUGAAAGCUCUCCUGUGUAGUGAUUUCAUUGUGCGACUUUCAUAUGGAAUGGGUCUGGUUGUGAAUUAUCUUACCUUAUUAAUAGAGCUUCGUUUCUGUAGACAGAAAUCACCUGGAUGUGAUUACUUGCGAAGGUCCACUCUCUUCAACGGUGGAAAGAGUAGUAUUCUUAGUUUUACCUUGUUAUGCUUUUUAGUAAUUUUUUCUUUCUACAUACAUUAGUGUUUGUUGCCUUCCUGAGCUCUUGAUAGUAUUAUAUGAAGAAGAAAAGCAAAGGGGUCAGAAAAUUUCGAUAGAGAACUCGAGGAUAUGAUAAAUAGGGUCAAUAUGGAGUGCGAAAGGAAAAUUCAGAGGGCACUCAACCAGAAAUUGAACUAUGAAGACGCAAAACUCUACACAGGAUACUUGUUGUGCUUCUUCAUGUUUACUGUUUACAAUCGUAGCUUAAAAUGGUUGUUCAUACAAGGUGAUAUAAUCUGACACCUGCAGGUUUACAUAAGUCUAGAGAACGCUUAUUGAGUAAGAAGGAUCCAUAAAGAUCCAAGAUUUUGCGUCUGUUUGUAUUCUCGACGAACAAGCACAACCAUGGGUUGAGGGAGACCCUCAAGACCUACAGCAAUUGGCCAACUUCCUGAGGGGAGCUUGUGGGCUGGUUACCGCGAACCGCUGACUCUGACUGCAGAUAUUCCACAAGGAACUAUUUUUCUAUGGCCAUGAUCAACUUGUUAAGAUUUCAAAGUAGGUAUGCUGGCUACCAAUAGCCUGACGGCGGCAUGUUUGUAUCUUCAAGCUGAUGUAUGAUUUCUAAAUUUCCCCAUCCAAAAUCUUAAGCUGUGUUUUAUUCGGUAGUUGUGUUGGUGACUGAAAGUAGAAACAGAAAGGAGAUUUGCAAGUCAUGAUGACAAAGCGUAGAUGGAAUAAAAACGAGGCAAUGACAACAAUGGAGCAUAGCUGAGUGAUGAUGUAGCAAUUGCAGAGCCAGCCCACAAUGUUGUUUGAUGGGCACAUGGAGAGGAUAGAACAUGAUACCAUGUCUCUCGAAGGGUUGCGAGGGUUGAGAAGAAAACACACAAUGCAGUGGAAGAAAGACCAAAACAUUAAAAAUUCAAAACAGCGUUGCUAUGAAUUCUGUAUAUCCCGCCUCGAGCACCCUCGAUGUUGCGACACAGAUGCCUCCUCGCUACUGAUUGCCCUGCUGGAAGAAUUUGCUGCGUCGGGUAACCGAGAAUUUGGUAAUCCGUGAAAAUGCCAAGGAUCCUCCUUAAUUCUGUGCAGCAUGUGGCUUGCAAAUUUGCAAUAGUAGAUUAGUCGUGCCGAGGUCAUGGUUUGGAGUUCCAAGCAGUACAAUCCCUAAAGAAAUGCUGUCAAAAAAAAAACGAUCCCUAAAGUCUAAAGACAUAGGUUGAGCGUUCAUAGCAUAGGAUCUCAAUGCUCUAAGAAAGAUGAAUAAAAAAAGUGAAUGUCAUGUUUGAAAUACACUUCCUGAUGGAUUCUGAAUAAGUACUGCGGCACUCCAGUUUGUUA